AGAGUAUUUUUGAAAAACUACAAAUAUUUUGGCAUAAAUCACGUGUUAACCCUACUUUAGUUUUGACACGUUGCUUUACACUUUACCCUGCUCAAAUGAACAUAUCUGUUUCCACCUAAUUUUCCCAGUCUUUACGCUUGGUUUCUUCCUCCAAAUUUCCGCCGCUGCUCACCUCUUUUUUACAAUUCCCCUUGUUUCUUUUAGUAUUCUCUCUUCCCGGAUAGUUAAUUCGCCUUGAUUGUAUAGUAUAAGGUUGCAAAAGUGAUUAGCUAACACUUAUAAAACUUAAAUUUCUUCGUGAAUGGAUCGUCAACAAAAAAGAAAACAACCUUGCAUAACAACAGAUUCUUAUGAUAAGAAUGCCAGGUGGCGUGAACUCUAUCGUGACAUGGCCACGGCUAAAAAGAACACACUUCUACUGCAACGCCGCCUCAAAAAGAGAGAGGCGACAACUAAUCGUCUUCUUGGAAGUAUAAAAUCUAUUAAUCUUGCUGAAUCAAUGUGUGCAAUUCAGGAUAAUGUUAUUGUUGGAGGCUCUUGUUCUAUUUCCAAAAGAGUUGCAACUGAUCGUGAGGUUUUUACGCCACUAAAUGUGCUUGACAAAGGGAAAAAUGUGAUUCAUUCUAUUUCUACUUUUGAAAAUGGUUUGACAUCAAGUACUUCAGGUAAAUCAAGCGGUCCAAAUACUGAAACAAUCCUGGUCGAUGUUGCCAACACAAUAGCUUUCAACUCAAGAAAUGAAGUAAAAGAAACGUCAAAAUGAAGACGCUGGGGCAAAUUAGUUAGCUCGAGAGUAUUUUAGAGGAGUGUCAUGGGGUUGAGCAAAACUGAAGUGAACUUGAAGAGAUUACUUGUAACAGCACCAUAAUAGCAAAAUGAAGCAAAGCUUAUACAUAUUGUCGAGGGCCUCUAUGUAAAGCAGUAGGCAUCUAAUACUUGCUAACGUUGCCUCAAUCUGCUUGAAGAUUUACAAUUUAUUCUAUAUUUUCACUGAUAGUGUCGCAAAUGCUACUGGAUUCAAAUGUAGUUGCAUGGGACUUUUGGAUGCAAAUUCAGCUACUACUGGAUUUGGAAUUGGAUAUCAAGUACUGAACCCAAACAAAUCUGUACCUAAUCCUAUGUAACUCAGAAUAGUUUCAUCUUGCUGUUGGUAAUACUUGAUAACAUCACUUAUUCUCGAGCUGCCAACAGAAAUUCAUCUCUUCAGAAAAGUAAUACCAAGUCUCGCCCUGCGGGUUGAUGCUUUGAAAAAGAUAGCCUAUUUAUUUUGCAUGAGGAGAAGCAAGCUGAAAAGCAGCAGUGCGCCGUUGUUGCUUCAAAAAUUCCCCACAACUUCUCUUUUAUGCCAGAUAAUGAAGUCAUCAUGCGGCCAUCAUAACAUUGUUUAGAAGCUCUAUUCCAAUGUCAACCAAAUUAUGUUACAGUUUGUACAUCCGGUCAAAGAUUGUUUCUUUUGACAUUUGACCUCAUUGUGGAAGAAUCACUAAAAACUUGAGGCUUAGGAAAAUAAAGGUAUCUCAACUGUGAAUUCUCUAUCUAUUGCAUUUUACGUAAUUUCUCGAGGUAAUUCGUCUUUUCAUACGCUAUCUUAAUUACUUACCUAUUUCUGUUAGCACCAGUCAAUUCUUGGUAAAAGAAAAUUACUGUAUUAUCUUAAUUUAUUUCCAAGCUUUUCCAACUUUUAAUAGCUCUGUUUGAUUCUUUAUUUCACAUUGUUCUUCGUGGACUUUGGUAGAUGCUUAUAUUCGUUUUCCAAUUUGUAUGGAACAUCAUAUUGGUUAUUCUUGAUAAACAACAAGGUACACUCUCUCUCUCUCUUAAUUUGUUUGUGGACUUUCGACUUACAAAUUUGACCCGGCGCUAAAUCACACGAGAUUAAUCUUUUUGUCAUGAAAAACAUACAUACUGGGAAACUACAUGUAAACUUUAACAAAAGAGUAUUUCCUACAUUUUUAGCCAAAUCUUUUUUGAUUUGAAUCUCAAGAUAUUUUGUUACUAUGGUCUGCUAAAUCGCAUCAGAUUAAUCUUUUUGUCGUGAAAAGCAUAUAUAUUCAAGAACUACACUAAAACUACUGCAGAAAAGAGAUUUAUAUGGUUCUUUAUAGAAAUAGUUCAUAUUGGCAAAACAAAUUAUAAUAUGAAGCGAUAACUGUAGAUUCAUAGUUGGAUUUAAUAGUUAGUAUCAUAAAACUGAUUAAUUGAUACUAUUUUCCAUUCCCGUUUUCUAUUAUAUUGUCAACAUCUCCUUGCCAAAAAGUUUUGGUGUUCUGCUUCUGGCUACAUAGAAAGAGCGCCGAUCUAUUUGGCAUAUAACUUUCACAAAGUAAUGUUAUUGUCUUACAAUUUGAUGAUCUUUAAGGUAUAAAUAAGUUCAGGUCAUUGUCAAAUUUUCAAAUCUCAGCUGAAGUUAUUUCUUCUGUGGCGUUGCAGCUCCAAAUCUUCAACUGCUAAUAAAAAGUUGUACUUCUCUUUGUGGUUCAGAUUUUCUAACACAAAGAAAGCUAGAACAAGAUCAAGAUCAUUACCACCGAUCCAAACUCCUUGACAUCAGUUUCAUUUAACAAACACCUUUUGCAGAGAAAAAGUGAUCAUUUGUCACCAACCAUUUGCUAUUAUAUUCUGGUAGUAAUUUUUUUUAAUUAUUGCUGAUCGAUAGAUGUUUCUUAUACUUUGUUUGGUUAGUAAAUUAGCACCUGGAUAACUUAUACCUCAUAGAGGGUAGAGUAAUUAGUGUCGGGAUAACUUAUACCUUAUUUUUUGAAAUUAUGCAAUUAACGACUCCUUAAAGGAUUAACUAUUUACAUUCGGUAAUCAAAAAAGUGUAUAAAAUUUA
Molecule: non-coding RNA, 2833 nt
Organism: Nicotiana tabacum (common tobacco)
Lineage: Eukaryota; Viridiplantae; Streptophyta; Magnoliopsida; Solanales; Solanaceae
Source: RefSeq, a predicted model, not a curated record